CCAGACUCCUACGGGAGGCAGCAGUGGGGGAUAUUGCACAAUGGGGGAAACCCUGAUGCAGCGACGCCGCGUGUGGGAAGACGGUCUUCUGGAUUGUAAACCACUGUCCCCAGGGACGAAAAUGACGGUACCUGGGGAGGAAGCUCCGGCUAACUACGUGCCAGCAGCCGCGGUAAUACGUAGGGAGCAAGCGUUGUCCGGAAUUACUGGGUGUAAAGGGAGCGUAGGCGGGGAUGCAAGUUGGGUGUCAAAACUACCGGCUCAACCGAUAGUCGCACUCAAAACUGCAGCUCUUGAGUGAAGUAGAGGCAGGCGGAAUUCCUAGUGUAGCGGUGAAAUGCGUAGAUAUUAGGAGGAACACCAGUGGCGAAGGCGGCUUUCUGGACUGAAACUGACGCUGAGGCACGAAAGCGUGGGGAGCGAACAGGAUUAGAUACCCCAGUA
Molecule: ribosomal RNA, 444 nt
Filed under: uncultured bacterium
Lineage: Bacteria
Description: bacterial SSU rRNA
Rfam family: Bacterial small subunit ribosomal RNA
Source: RNAcentral